Non-coding RNA from Peromyscus maniculatus bairdii (prairie deer mouse), 837 nucleotides. Lineage: Eukaryota; Metazoa; Chordata; Mammalia; Rodentia; Cricetidae. The record is from RefSeq and is a predicted model, not a curated record.
GCGAGCUCAGGGGGACAGGGACCAGCUGCUGUUGCCGCCGUUCUCAGGGUGAAGAAAAGCCAGAAAUCUUUGCCCCCUGACUUUGGAAACCCAGUUUAACCUUCAAAUUGGCGAUGUCAAGGGUUCCAAGUCCUCCGCCUCCGGCAGAAAUGUCGAGUGGUCCCGUGGUCGAGAGCUGGUGCUAUACACAGUUGUUUGCGAGUAAACCCAAAAGGGCUGGAUGAAGAAAGCCAAGAUUACCUGUCACUUUACCUGUUAUUGGUCAGUUGUCCAAAGAGUGAAGUUCGGGUAAAGUUCAAGUUCUCCAUCCUGAAUGCCAAGGGAGAAGAAACCAAAGCUAUGGAGAGUCAGCGAGCUUAUAGGUUCAUGCAAGGCAAAGAACGGGGAUUCAAAAAAUUUAUUCGUAGAGAUUUUCUCUUGGAUGAGACCAAUGGGCUUCUCCCUGAUGACAAGCUCACCCUCUUCUGUGAGGUGAGUGUAGUACAAGAUUCCGUCAAUAUUUCUGGACAGAAUACCAUGAACACGAUAAAGGUUCCUGAGUGCCGGCUGGCAGAUGAAUUAGGAGGGCUGUGGGAGAAUUCUCAAUUCACAGACUGCUGCCUGUGUGUGGCUGGCCAAGAAUUCCAGGCUCACAAGGCCAUCCUAGCAGCUCGGUCUCCAGUUUUCAGUGCCAUGUUUGAACACGAAAUGAAGGAGAGCAAAAAGAAUCGGGUUGAAAUUAACGACGUGGAACCUGAAGUUUUCAAGGAAAUGAUGUGCUUCAUUUACACGGGGAAGGCUCCAAACCUUGACAAAAUGGCUGAUGAUUUGCUGGCAGCUGCUGACAAGUAUGCCCUG